UACGGGGGGAGCAAGCGUUGUUCGGAUUUACUGGGCGUAAAGGGCGCGUAGGCGGCCACCGCAAGUCGACUGUGAAAUCUCCGGGCUUAACUCGGAAAGGUCAGCCGAUACUGCGGGGCUAGAGUGCAGAAGGGGCAACUGGAAUUCUCGGUGUAGCGGUGGAAUGCGUAGAUAUCGAGAGGAACACCUGCGGCGAAGGCGGGUUGCUGGGCUGACACUGACGCUGAUUGUGCGAAAGCUAGGGGAGCGAACGGG
This 255-nucleotide ribosomal RNA is filed under the name uncultured bacterium. RNAcentral's name for it is "partial 16S ribosomal RNA". It matches the Rfam family "Bacterial small subunit ribosomal RNA", at positions 524 to 776 of the family's 1533-position model. The record is from RNAcentral.